Sapajus apella (tufted capuchin) is the source of this 2521-nucleotide RNA transcript. It is a transcript of the gene named prostaglandin F synthase 1-like, with no coding region annotated. The transcript is spliced from 10 exons. The record is from RefSeq and is a predicted model, not a curated record. NCBI's taxonomy places the organism in Eukaryota, Metazoa, Chordata, Mammalia, Primates, Cebidae.
CUUUUAUAAAUUAUGUGUCUUCUUCUUGGCAAUUUUUAAUAGCUCUCUCAGGUUAUUAAUAUCAAACUCUGUUGACCUGGUUUAUAAAAGUUUUCCAAAUCUACUGUUCACUUAUUAACUGUUAAGAGGACAUUUUCCGUGGUAAAAGAUUAAUUUUUUACAUAUCCAGAUAUCUCCCUCUUGCAAGAUUUUUUUUUUUUUUUGGCUUAUUAAACAAGGUCUUCUUUCAAUCAAGAGUGCACAUUGGACAUUGCAUAUUUCCCUUAAUAAAGGGGAAAAAAAACCUCUGCUUCACAAGAAAAGUAAAAGAAGAUGAGUUUUACCAGACUGCUUUCUGUACACCUGAAUGAUGGACACUUCAUGCCUAUGCUGGGGUUUGGCACCUCUGCCCCUAGGAAGGUUGCCACGAGUAAUGUAGAAGAAGCCGUCCAGGUGGCAAUAGAUGUAGGCUACCGCCAUAUUGACUCAGCUUAUUUGUACCUGAAUGAAGAAGCCAUUGGGCAGGCCAUCAGGAAGAAGAUUGCCAAUGGCACUGUGAAAAGAAAAGAUAUAUUCUAUACCACAAAGCUGUGGGGCACCUUUUCCCGCCCAGAAUUGGUCCAAAGAGGCCUUGAACUGUCACUGCAGGAACUUCAGCUGAGCUACGUGAAUCUUUACCUUAUUCAUUACCCGGUAUCUCUGCAGCCUGGAAAGAAGUUUAUCCCAGUGGACUCACAGGGAAAGAUCAUUUUUGACACAGUGGAUCUCUGCAGCACAUGGGAGGCCAUGGAGAAGUGUAAGGAGGCAGGAUUGGCCAAGUCCAUCGGGGUGUCCAACUUCAACCGCAGGCAGCUGGAGAUGAUCCUCAACAAGCCAGGGCUCAAGUACAAGCCCGUCUGCAACCAGGUGGAAUGUCACCCUUACCUCAACCAGAGCAAACUCCUGGAGUACUGUAAGUCCAAGGACAUUGUCAUGACUGGAUAUGCUGCCUUGGGGUCUGACCCAGGCAAGGAAUGGGUGAAAACAGACAACCCAGUUCUCCUGGAGGAUCCAGUACUCAAUGCCAUUGCUGAAAAGCACAGGCGAACUCCAGCCCAGGUUGCCUUGCACUACCAGCUGCAGCGGGGGGUGGUGGUCCUGGCCAAGAGCUUCACUGAGAAGAGAAUCAAAGAGAACUUUCAGAUUUUUGACUUCCAGCUCACACCAGAGGACAUGAAAACCAUAGAUGGCCUGAACAAGAAUAUGAGCUAUUUUGAAAAUGUAAGUAGCUUGUUUUGUUGUCAACACUAGGGAGCAGGACAGUGGGGCGAAUUCAGCUGAUUUCAAUCCAUAGAGGGCAGCGUCUGUUGCUUAGGAAAGCUUUUGGAAAACAUUUUUUCUUCCAACUUCAGAUCAGAGAUAUUUUCUUCCAAGGCUCAGGGCUCUGCCCAGACAAGAGUGUAAGCAGAACUCAACAUAGACUGAAGCUCCCUGUUGAAGACAGGGCUCUCCUGGUUCCCCACUGCCUCUGUGUGUCCCUCAUCACUAGGCUUCCCUCCAAUCUAUAUCCUAAGAAUUCCAUGGUUUCUAUCUCUAACCCAGACCUUUUUCCUGGUCUCUAGUAUCCCACUGAUUUUCUAUUAAAUUAAAAUUCCCUGGAGAUAUUCCCUACAGAUAGUUCUACUUAUUCUUACAGUUUAAACUUAAUACACUUAAAAUUGAAGUCUUAGAAGUUCUCUCUCUAUACUCAUCAUGGUAAUACUACAAAGACCACUAUUAUGGCACAAACCUCACCCCCUAUGUCUAAAUAACCACCUCGUCCUGUUGAUUCUAUAUUUCAACAUUUCUCAUGCUUCCCUAAUAUUCAUCACAAAGCCCACCCUCUCUCAUUCAGGUUUUGAACCUGAAUUGGCUCUCUUGCAGGGCUGGCCACAGGGCUGGAUCUUCAGCCGUGGUUUCCAAACAAUGUUCAGAACUUUGCUCAGGUCUGGGGGUUCUCAGUAGUAAAGAGUAAGCAGGUUCCAAAAAUUAAGAAGAAAAAAGGGAAGAGGCUGAGUAUCAAGCAAAUGGAGGUGAUAAUGAAAAUCCAGUGGCAGGAAAAAAUUUUUUUCUAAAGAUAGGCUUUUAAUGACCCUUCAAACUUUUAGAUUCUAUGAUUCUCAGAAGACUGUAGAGACAAAUCCGGAAGUUAUUUUUUUCUCUUUGGUGGCAUUUAGUACAUAUAUGUAUGUAAACAUCUCACAACACAGGAAGACCAACCAAUCCAGUAGCUCUUGGGCUGACUCCCAUCCUCUGCUGUGCACUUUUCUCAUCACCUGGAUUAACAAUUUCUUGAUGAAUAUUAAGAAAAUUAUCUGUGGUUGUUCCAGAGCUUAUUGAUUUUGAUUGAUGAAUAGAGAACAUUUCAAGGAUGAGAAGUUUCUAGUAUUCCCCAUUGAUUAGCCUGCUCAGUCACAAGUUGGCCUAAGACCCUGGAUCAGAAAAUAAAAGUAUCUAAGCCCAGUUUUCUCUUGAUUCCCACCCCCACAACUGCCAAAAUAAAGAUGUAUUUGAAACAAUCUAA